RNAcentral lists this ribosomal RNA (497 nucleotides) under uncultured bacterium. RNAcentral's name for it is "partial 16S ribosomal RNA". It matches the Rfam family "Bacterial small subunit ribosomal RNA", at positions 899 to 1397 of the family's 1533-position model. The record is from RNAcentral.
ACUCAAAGGAAUAGACGGGGGCCCGCACAAGCGGCGGAGCAUGCGGAUUAAUUCGAUGCAACGCGAAGAACCUUACCAAGGCUUGACAUAUACCGGAAAAGUUCAGAAAUGUUCUCCUCGCAAGACCGGUAUACAGGUGGUGCAUGGUUGUCGUCAGCUCGUGUCGUGAGAUGUUGGGUUAAGUCCCGCAACGAGCGCAACCCUCGUUCUAUGUUGCCAGCACGUAAUGGUGGGAACUCAUAGGAGACUGCCGGGGUCAACUCGGAGGAAGGUGGGGAUGACGUCAAAUCAUCAUGCCCCUUAUGUCUUGGGCUUCACGCAUGCUACAAUGGCCGAUACAAAGGGCUGCAAUACCGCAAGGUGGAGCGAAUCCCAAAAAGUCGGUCUCAGUUCGGAUUGAGGUCUGCAACUCGACCUCAUGAAGUCGGAGUCGCUAGUAAUCGCAGAUCAGCAACGCUGCGGUGAAUACGUUCCCGGGCCUUGCACACACCGCCCGU